AUGGUUUUGUAAACAUCAAAAUAACAUAAUGACUCUCAAUCUCCCCCUUUUUGAUGAUUAUAAAACAUUACCAAUUGUCGAUUUGUCAUUCAUAAGAAACAUUGAUUUAACAUCAUAAGAUGCUAUUAGUUCAAGAUUUUCAAAAUAGUCAAGUUUUGGUGUAUGUAUUAAGUAACCAAGAUCUCCCCCUAUCAUAAUCAAAUUGAUGCCAAAUCUGUUUUAGCUUUUACUCCCCUUUUCUCUUACGUUUUAUUGAAUCAAAAUUUUCAAGAAUUUGUGCCAAAUUAAGAGUUCUAGGUUAUGUAUCGAGGCAAUGUGGCAAAAGCUUAUGUUUUAUACAUUUUCAUGUAUCGAAAUUACAAAAUUCAGAUGAAAAUUCAGAUUUGCAUGUAUUCGAUGUUCUCCCCCUUAAAUAUUGAUUUCUCUUAUAUUUUUCUCUUAUAUGUAUUUCCC
Molecule: long non-coding RNA, 453 nt
Filed under: Phoenix dactylifera (date palm)
Lineage: Eukaryota; Viridiplantae; Streptophyta; Magnoliopsida; Arecales; Arecaceae
Description: long non-coding RNA (PDAC_LNC017694)
Source: RNAcentral